RNAcentral lists this unclassified non-coding RNA (219 nucleotides) under Hevea brasiliensis (rubber tree). Lineage: Eukaryota; Viridiplantae; Streptophyta; Magnoliopsida; Malpighiales; Euphorbiaceae. The record is from RNAcentral.
AUAGGAGGUGCCAACCACAGCCAUGCUACAUUUGACCCCGCAUGUGGGUUUCCAGUGAAAUUUCACGUAGGUUACUUUUCCAGCCUUAUUGAUGAAAGAAAAGGCGUGAACACCAAAACCUUCCAUGUGUCUAUAAUUUUGGGGAAUUCCAACAUCAUCAAAAAACCAGGCGAAGGUGCUCAAGCUCUCGGGAUGGUGUGAUAAGAAGUCAAAGAUCCU